Triticum aestivum (bread wheat) is the source of this 3201-nucleotide RNA transcript. It is a transcript of the gene named DAR GTPase 2, mitochondrial, with no coding region annotated. NCBI's taxonomy places the organism in Eukaryota, Viridiplantae, Streptophyta, Magnoliopsida, Poales, Poaceae. The transcript has 11 exons. The record is from RefSeq and is a predicted model, not a curated record.
GGGUCUUGCUCUACGGCCCACCGCAGUAUCAAGCACUCCCGCCUGGUCCGGCGUCUGCAAUGGCAAGAGCAGCGGCGGCGGAGGCCUUUUCGCGGCGCCUGGGCGCGGCCGUGCGCGGCCUCUCCGGCGCCUGGUACAACCGUCAUAUGGCCGCCGCCGACCGCGCCAUCCGCGCCCGACUCCCCCUUGUCGACCUCGUCCUCGAGGUCCGCGACGCCCGCGUACCCGCCACCUCGGCGUUCGAGCUUCUCCACCGCCGCUCCCCGGAGGAGCCCGACGUGCGUCGGCUCGUUGCGCUCAACAAGGCCGACCUGGCUGAUCCGUCCGAAACCGAGUGGGUGGCGUUCAUGAAGCAAAGGGGCUGCUCGUGCAUCGCGGUCAAUUCACACUGCAGGGAAAGCAUCAAUGAGCUGUUGAAUGCUGUGCGUGGGAGGAUCAGGGAGGUCAAGCUUGGGGUGAGCGACUGCACAGGGACUGUUCUCUUGGUCGGUAUCCCUAAUGUUGGCAAGUCGGCCAUCAUCAAUGCGAUGCAUCAAAUUGGAAGGAUUGGGGCAGCAGAGAAGGGAAAGCUCAAGCAUGCUAUUGUCAGCAGCCAUCCAGGAGAAACCAGAGAUAUAAGUGGCUACAAGGUUGCUAGUCAUCCAAAUAUAUAUGUGUUAGACACUCCUGGUGUUCUAUCUCCUAUAUUUGCUAAUGAUGAAUAUGGUCCCAGGCUAGUUUUGACAGGAGCAAUUAAGGAUUCCUUGUUAGAGGAGUAUGAGAUUGCACAAUUCCUUCUUACAAUUCUUAACUUAAGGAAGGAAUGCAGGGAGUGGGAGAACCUGAAUCUAGAUGGAGAUAAAUCUUCUUUUGCUGAUGCAGUUCCCACCAGGAGUUGCCAUACUAAAAGGCAGUAUUCCUCAGAUCAUACCCAGGAUUUUAUCGUUAGAGCCGUUCGUCAAGCGCUUUCUGAGACCAUAGCAUCUUUUCAGGGAGAUUUAGGAAAUGAGAAUGAUUUAAGAAGAUUGGUAGAAAUCCAGUUUACACACUUGCAGAAUGCUUUCAGGAUUUCUGCUGAAACAAUUGAGGAUAGGAAUAAACGUGUCGCUGUCAAAUUACUCAAUCUCUAUCGCACAGGAAGGCUUGGCCAUUAUACCUUAGACCAUGUUCCAGAUGUUAGGCAGGAAGUAGCUGCAUAAUCAUCCAAUGUGGAACACGGGUCAGAGAAGGAUAUAUGUGGAUACAAAUCAUUACUUACUUAGUCUGGAAAACAGUACCUGAAUUUCUGAUUCGAGGCAUCCAUGAAGUGCAGCGACAGUAUAUGCGAAGUGUCUAAGCACAGAUCCAAGCUUUACAUACUUUUGCCAUGGGUAACUGUAACACUGCAUUGAGUGUCUUGGUUCCCAGCUUGCAUAGUGUGCCUGGCCAAUUGUUAUUAUUGAGGGCAUAUACUUUUUGAAAUAAGAGACAUCCAUGACAUCAAUCUGAUAAAAAACAUUUGCACAGAGAAAAGGAUAAGAAGAUUGAAGCAUCAAACGGUGAUUUACUUACCAGGGACUCAUCACUUGAUUUUGAGUCUAGUACUUCUCUAUACCCAGUAUGAAUGGAAGCUCUUGACUUCUGCUUAUCAAGAAUAUUAUCAUGCUUCUCUUGAUCUCGAAAAUACUCAUCCACACAGCCUGCAAUUUUUCUUUGUGCAGCUGUGGAGGUCCUCUCCCGACCAGUUUGGUAAUACGAAGAGGCUCAUAAAGAGGCAUAUGGCACACCCUAUGGCAAUUGUACUCAAGCGAUCUCGUGCUAAAGGCAGUAUGUUCUCUUGGCGGAAGCUUGAGACCGUUAUCAGAUUGAAGGUUAGCAAAAAAAUCACCACUCCAUAAUCAUAGUUCUUCUUAAUGGUUGGGAAGAAUCUCAAAUACGUUGCCACGAAUCCUGUCAUUGAAAAUGCUACGGCAUAAGAUACUAUCAAUUAGGCCAUCCUGAAUUCCAACUUUACACGGUGCAUACCUAUCAGAAAUACUGAAGAUGCCACGAAAAAACCACGGAAAACUUUUCCAGAUCUUACUGCUACAAGUUCAAUGAUAAAUGCUAGAGAUGCUGCUAUGACUGUUCCGAACCCUCUAUUCAGACCUUUGCAUAUGGUUGCACCUGUUGAUCAGUACUCACUUGUCAGAAACCGAAGAAGUACAUCCACAAAUGGCACAUAUUAUAAUCAGUAUGAUGCUAGUAGAUUACCUGCGGUAAAUUCGAGCACAACAACAACCGUCAUGACAGCCCACAUUGCAUUCUUUCCCACUCCUUUGAACAAGGGUUCUAGUAUAUACAAGAGCGAGACCAGUGUGAGAGCUGUCCCAACCUUGAGAGCAUGAAUGGCUCUCCUUUGAUCUUCUCUUCCAAUACUCCAUGCGUACGCCCACCAAGAAGCAGGAAUCCUGGUGAUCUUCUUCACUCUCUCAGGAAGCAUCAGCAAGCUGUUCUUGUUGCUGCUGGGAUCUACAGCACAAGCCAUUCUUGCAGCCUGGGCUCAAGAUGAAUGCUCAGGUUCCUUGGAAGAUGGCAAUGCUACCAACAGUAACGCCGUCUAGGUGUUCCGAAUAUCAGGAAGGGAGAGGACGCUAACUUCGUCCCGUUUGUUGAGCAACUCGCCGAGUCACAGGACGAUACGCAUUUCUCCUUUUCCUGACGCUGAUACGUGGUGAUGGCGGCCUUGACUUUGCACUGGACCAUCGGCUGAAUGAGUUCACGUGAAGAGGAAGUUGGGAAAGGCCCCGGGCUCGGCAAGCCGCUCGUGUGCGCGCCUUGAUUGGACGACAAUGGCCGGCUCGUCCGGUCCCGGUCCGGCUGUGGUGGAGAGCGACAUGUGCGGAUGGCCGCUUGAGGUUGUAGUGUAGGGCGAAGGUCACGGUUGUCGCCGGGUUCAGAUUUGUCGUGCGGCCGCUCUGCCAGCUGCGGUGAUUCUCUGCCGUCAGAUUUCUUUUUGCCGUCCGGGGGUCGACACCUUGCCAGGCGAGGGCACACCUGUGAACUGGUUGGUGGCCUUGUGUCAAACCUGCACUUGAAAUGCACGGCUGGUGCUGGACUUUGGGUUGGUUCGCAUUGAUCACAUCUAAUUUAGGGAUAUUUUUGUUUUUUGUCGCUAAGCCUUCGUAUCAUUGCAUGAUUUCUAAAACAAAACUUCUGUACUUUUUUACUAGUGAUAGCAACAACUAUUUUUUUCUCUUGUUA